Molecule: ribosomal RNA, 484 nt
Filed under: uncultured bacterium
Lineage: Bacteria
Description: partial 16S ribosomal RNA
Rfam family: Bacterial small subunit ribosomal RNA
Source: RNAcentral
AUUGAACGCUGGCGGCAGGCCUAACACAUGCAAGUCGAGCGGACGAAGGGAGCUUGCGCCUGGAUUCAGCGGCGGACGGGUGAGUAAUGCCUAGGAAUCUGCCUGGUAGUGGGGGAUAACGUACGGAAGCGGGCGCUAAUACCGCAUACGUCCAGAGGGAGAAAGUGGGGGAUCAUCGGACAUCACGCUAUUAGAUGAGCCUAGGUCGGAUUAGCGAGGUGGUAGGGUAAAGGCUUACCAAGGCGACGAUCCGUAGCCGACAUGAGAGGGUGAUCGGUCACACGGGGACUGAGACGCGGUCCGGACUCCUACGGGAGGCAGCAGUAGGGAAUCUUCCGCAAUGGGCGAAAGCCUGACGGAGCAACGCGGCGUGAGUGAUGAAGGUCUUCGGAUCGUAAAACUCUGUUAUGAGGGAAGAACAAAUGUGUAAGUAACUAUGCACGUCUUGACGGUACCUAAUCAGAAAGCCACGGCUAACUACGUG